This 460-nucleotide ribosomal RNA is filed under the name uncultured bacterium. Its description in RNAcentral is "partial 16S ribosomal RNA". It matches the Rfam family "Bacterial small subunit ribosomal RNA", at positions 338 to 795 of the family's 1533-position model. The record is from RNAcentral.
CCUACGGGGCGCAGCAGUGAGGAAUAUUGGUCAAUGGACGAGAGUCUGAACCAGCCAAGUAGCGUGAAGGAUGACUGCCCUAUGGGUUGUAAACUUCUUUUAUAAAGGAAUAAAACGAGGCACGUGUGCCUUUUUGCAUGUACUUUAUGAAUAAGGAUCGGCUAACACCGUGCCAGCAGCCGCGGUAAUACGGAGGAUCCGAGCGUUAUCCGGAUUUAUUGGGUUUAAAGGGAGAGUAGAUGGGUUGUUAAGUCAGUUGUGAAAGUUUGCGGCUCAACCGUAAAAUUGCAAUUGAUACUGGCAGUCGUGAGUACAGUUGAGGUAGGCGGAAUUCGUGGUGUAGCGGUGAAAUGCUUAGAUAUAACGAAGAACCCCGAUUGCGAAGGCAGCUUACUAAACUGUGACUGACAUUGAUGCUCGAAAGUGUGGGUAUCAAACAGGAUUAGAUACCCCAGUAGUC